GAUGAACGCUGGCGGCGUGCCUAAUACAUGCAAGUCGAGCGAACAGACGAGGAGCUUGCUCCUCUGAUGUUAGCGGCGGACGGGUGAGUAACACGUGGAUAUCCUACCUAUAAGACUGGGAUAACUUCGGGAAACCGGAGCUAAUACCGGAUAACAUGUUGAACCGCAUGGUUCAACAGUGAAAGACGGUCUUGCUGUCACUUAUAGAUGGAUCCGCGCCGCAUUAGCUAGUUGGUAAGGUAACGGCUUACCAAGGCAACGAUGCGUAGCCGACCUGAGAGGGUGAUCGGCCACACUGGAACUGAGACACGGUCCAGACUCCUACGGGAGGCAGCAGUAGGGAAUCUUCCGCAAUGGGCGAAAGCCUGACGGAGCAACGCCGCGUGAGUGAAGAAGGUCUUCGGAUCGUAAAACUCUGUUAUUAGGGAAGAACAAAUGUGUAAGUAACUAUGCACGUCUUGACGGCACCUAAUCAGAAAGCCACGGCUAACUACGUG
RNAcentral lists this ribosomal RNA (497 nucleotides) under uncultured bacterium. RNAcentral describes it as "partial 16S ribosomal RNA". It matches the Rfam family "Bacterial small subunit ribosomal RNA", at positions 28 to 507 of the family's 1533-position model. The record is from RNAcentral.